CUCACUCACUCACUCACUUACUCACUCACUCACUCACUCAUUAUCUCUCUCGCUCUUUCGGAGAGCAGCAUCGUCGUUGCUGCUGUUGCUGCCGACCGCUCGUGUUCUCGUACGCGGCGCGUCGCCGGAGAUAGAUGAGGGAGUCUAUCUUCAGCACAGAACCAGUUACGGCUUGACGAGCUGUAUGUUUCACGUAAUGCCUUGCGAUCCUGUCGUCCUAUUAAUAAUAAACCGCGAACGGUGGUUUAUACGAUGUACGAGACUUCCCCGGAAAAGAGAAUAUGGUUGUCUCGAGAGAAAAUUCGAUAGGCAUCAACGGUCUUUCGCGAGCACGUGCCUGUUAACAUGUUUCACAUCUUUCUGUUCGGAGAGUUUGCGUAAAAUGAUUCAUAAGGUCUUUACGGAUUUUCGAAAAUUAAAUGUAAAAUCGAAGGCAAUUGCUUUUUAUGAAAAUUAUGUAUUCUCAUAUGUUUCUGUCGUAUCUGACACUUCCUCUGUUAAAAUUUAAAAUGUUUAAAUAAGUCAUGUUAAUUAUCUUACACGUUUAAUCCCAUUUGUUCGCGAGUUACUUUCUGGUCAAAUUUGGGAGAACCGUAAUCUCAUUUGAUUACCUGUCGAUUUCUUAAUUAAGUAAAGAUAAAGAAGUAGUAACAGGAGCGUCUAACUUUUGAAUAGGAAUAAUAACUAUAUUUGUGAAAAGAGAAAGAAAAAGAAGAAGGUGAUGAUGAAGUGGAGACGAGGAAAAAGAGAAAGACAAAGAAAAGAGGAACGAAGAUUGGAAAAUUGCGUUAUCGAAUCAUUCUUCCGUCGUACUCUUUUAAGAAACCUCUCUUAAGAAAGCAUCGUAUAACGAACAUUAUGCAAACAAGGUCGAGCUUGAGUUACAGUCCCAAUAAUCCUUCUGUUGCAUCUGUGAAGUCAUCUUCCUCAUAUAUAAGAAUCAGUCUCGAGAUACGAAACAGAUUCCUUGGAAUAUUCCGAGCUCGCUGUUCAUCGGCAAACAGCGUAAAGAUAAAUGGAAAUGUUUUAAAAAUAUGAUUUAUGUUGGGGAAACGUUGUCCCGAUCGAGGGAACUGCAAGUAAAAGCCGAGACUGUAACUCAACUCUAUUAACCAAAUCUUGUUCAACCCGGAAGAAAUUCUUUUAUGAGGAAAGCGUCACUCGAAGAGAAGCCAAAGAGAAAGGCCCUUUUUUGCUCACUGGCCUGAAACAUGUACUUUGUCCAGACCCGUAUUAUCGCAUACCUUCGUAAACGAGACGUAACGCCUGACGAUGGAGUAUAACGAUGCCCUAAUGAUGAUACUUCGUCGAGAAUGCCAAAUAGAAUUCGAGGGACGUACAGAAUAAAAGCUUUAGAGAAUGGUAACGAUUACAAUCGAUUAUAUCGUAUAAAUAUACGUGAUGAGGCUCCUCGUACUCGAGCGAAGUACCAGUCAAAAGUCCUAGAAUUGAGAUAUAAAAUUUCGAGAUUGCAAAUAUUACGUUUAAGUACACACGGCCCCGGGCCAGUGUGUUUGAGAAAUAAUUCUGUACGGUCCAAAAUUCAUUGGCUACACUGGGGUUAUUGACUUACAAGUACGUUCCCUGGCAAAUAAUUUCCUUCUUUUGUUCUCUCUUUACCCUCGGAGGAGAAGAUUUGUUGAUUUAUGCGAAUUAUAUAUACUCGAGAAAAUUCGCUUAAAAACAAAUGUUUUACAAUUUAAACCAUUAAACAUUAUACGUUAAUAUAUGGUUAUAUUUGGAAAAAUAAUUGAAUUUAUGUUGAAGUCUUUAUAAUUAAUGAAUAUAAAAGAAAUUAACAUUAUCAUAUUUUAUUUGAAAACAAACAAUUGUUGUACAUAAAGUAUCCUCAUAAUUUUAAAGGGAUAAGAAAUAUAAUAGACUUACAUCUUAUACAUAACAUUCUGUUGCGUUGAUAAUGCAAUAGAAUGUUACGUAUAAGAUGUAAGUAACAAUCUACGUACUAACAUCGUAUUAUACGUAACAUUAUGCUACAUUUAUAGAUACAAUAUACCUAGGCCACAUAUACUAUGACAUAUUCUCUGCACUCUCAUAAAACACAUCCAAAAGUAAGUACGCAUCGCCGUUCUUCGUAAGGUAGAAUAAAUAUAUCAGCCAUUACUAUCGAUAUUUACAGUAACCACAAUCGAGCGCCGUCGUCCAAGUAAUGAAAAUAACUUCUCGUAAUAAAUUCAUUCGUUAACAGGCGUAUGCAGGAAAUUCUCAAUUAGACGUUCUAUCGUUUCGUCAAAAGCAGUUCCAUAAUUAAAUUUUCUCGACGUUUCGGAAGCGGUAUUAAUGUCAACUUCAUAAAAGAUGGCGUUUUUCCUUCAGCAUUUAAUUUUGAGAAGCGAAGGAAAUCGAUAAACUGAAAACGUCCUAUUAUAUUUCAUAUUCCUUUUUGACAUUUGGUCAUAAUGAAUUUGACAUAUUCGUUAAGUAUAAUAUUCAUUUACUCGUAAUAGAUUGAACGUUGACAAAUUUCUCCUAAAAGGGAUCGUGUUAUUUUGUACUGAUAGACAAUGAAUCAAUCGUGCUUAUCAAUCAUUUUCUUGGUGAUUAUUCUAGAAAUUUUUGGUAAGUUAAAAGAUUCUUAUAUUAUUAUAUGUCAAAUAUUAAUAAUUAAUAAUCUUUGUAAUAGCAAAUAAAAUAUAAAAUAUUUUACUGAUUUUCGAAACUUAUCCUCCAAAAAUGCAUUAUUUUGUAAAAAAUUACGUCUUUUUCAAAUUCUUACGUACAACUUUAAAUUAAUAUUUGUUUCUUUUUUUUUUUUUGUAUUCAGAGCUUCUAUUGAAAUGUUAGAAUAUCACUCAUGUAUUUUUAAUUUUUGGAGGCCUCUCAUGUCAUUAGUUACUGUGAUUACAGUACAUACUAUUUUUAAAUGAAAAUUUAGAAAAAAUUAGUUUGAUAUAUGUACAUUAUUUUGCUAGUAAAGAUGUUAAAAAAAAGAAUUUUAUUUUGUGUCAAAAAAAGGUCUCGAAAAUAGUCUUUUUGAUUAGCUGUCAGAUUGGUUUUAAGUAAUAAACUCUUGGCUCUUAUUACGUUUCGAGCACCGUUUAAGCGCAAAUAUGAACAAUAGUAUAUGUGUUUAAUCACAAUGAAAAAACCAACAUAUACAAUUUGUAGUAUUUUAUGGAGCAGCUCAUGGUGACAAGCUAAUAACGACGUUAUCACGAAAAAGAGAUAGCUUGGACAUUAUAGUUGUUAACAAAUUUAAGGCACGAACUUGCCCAAUUCAUUAUGCUCUUGCGAGUGUGUAAAUUGGUGAUUCCUUUGACUAUUAUCUAUCAGCGAUGAACGCUCUAGGAAGUCUUAUUAAAUUAUCUAUUCCCUAUUAUCACGAAUAGAAACUAAUGAUGGUCGAUCUAAUUCUAACGACUUCUGAUAGUCAUAGAUCACUGUGUACUGAUCUAAUAGAAACUGGAGUAAAUGAACAAUUAACAAUCACGAUCUACCUUCUGUUUAUUCUCCAUUCGUACUAUCGAUAUAUCCGUGUCAAGAUUUAAUUUUCUAAAGCGAGAACGUUGAAAGGUAUUCUUGAAAUUCUUAGAUGUGUAUCAUGUUACAAAAGGGGUUGAAGAGAAGAGUUCGGUCAUGCCACGUAACUGCCGCGUAACUGCCGCAUAUUAAUACGAUAGCAGAGCGAGCGAGGGCAGGUUGAAAUUGCAUGUUAUAGGUAAUUGGUAAUUUCUGUAACGCGAUCCGGCUACCAUCUGUCCGCGAGAAGAAGCAACAAAAGUAGCUGCGGGCUGUUUGGUGCUGCCGCUGCG
Vespa velutina is the source of this 3770-nucleotide long non-coding RNA. RefSeq lists it as uncharacterized. Lineage: Eukaryota; Metazoa; Arthropoda; Insecta; Hymenoptera; Vespidae. The transcript has 3 exons. The record is from RefSeq and is a predicted model, not a curated record.